Molecule: non-coding RNA, 90 nt
Organism: Mycena galericulata
Lineage: Eukaryota; Fungi; Basidiomycota; Agaricomycetes; Agaricales; Mycenaceae
Source: the annotation of a GenBank genome assembly
GCCUCUGUAGAUUAUGGAAAUCGUCUCGAGAUGUUACUUUUCCUUCUCACGUAUUGCGAGAAGACGUGGGUUCGACUCCCACCAGAGGCU